CACUUCCGCCCUCACUGGUUGCCGUGGUAACAGGCCUCCGGUGGAGGGCGGGGACCCUCGGAAGCCAGCUGGGUGGCGAUCGCUUGUCUGCCUUGGCAGGCCCCUUGUGCAGUCUUUUCCCGGCGUGAGCGUGCAGGGAUUGAAAAGGAAUGCUUUAUGGUUCAGCAGAGAGCCACCACGCAGGAUGCACUGGGACCUGAGAACCGUCGGGCAGUCCCACGAGCUCUUUCAUGACCAGCUCCAACCGACAAGUACACGCCCCUUCGCACUCCACUAGCUAGUAAGCUGAGCUACAAGGUGUGCCAGGCACCCAGGACGCCGAUUCACCGCUUCAGUGAAGGCCCAGCUCAAAUGCCACCUCUUCCAUGAAGACUUCCGUGAUCCACAAUGAUAGCAUCUCCAGCAAUUGCUUCUAUAAUGAAUAGCAUGAGUCAUUCUGCAGGAUGUUGAUCUUCCUUUUUUUACUCCUAGACUGAAUUUUUCCACCACCUGGAUGAACAUAGCAGAAAGAACAUAGUGUUUUAGAGUCAGACACAAUAGGAAUCAGGCACUUUGGAAUCUUGGCUCUACCACCUUUGAGCUAUGUAUCCCAAGGUAACGGCAGAGUCCCAAAACACAUGAAGCAAGAACUGACAGAACUGGAGGGAGACAUCAAUCAAUAACAACAGUUGGAGAAUUCAAUACCCUGCUCUGAAUAAUGGAUAGAACAAUUAGGCAGAAGACCAACAAAGAAAGAGGAUAUUUGAACAACGUGAUAAGCCAAUUUGACCUAAUAAAUAUCUUUAUCUGUGAAACACCCUAGCUUUUAGCCUGGGUAAGGAGCUGGAGAGAUGUGAAAAUGUGGAAAGCAAGCCUAAGUCGCAGUGUGGCCUAUGCCUGAGAGCCAUCUUCAGUGCCCCCUUGUGGCUGUAUCUGGGAACCACAGACAGAAUCAUGGAACUGACCAUCUUCAGUCUCAAAGUGCUGCCCUCACCACUACACCCAGGGGCAGGUGGUCUUCGGGGGAAAGGCGGUUCCAGUUCCUUCUCCCAAGGUAACAACUCCCAUCCCAAGGCAAUGUUCACAGAACCUAUCAGAGUCCCCCCUGCCCUAUGCACAGCUUAAGACCAGGGUGGUCUCAGCUCUGAUCAGGCCACUGAGGGCAUCUGUCUGAGAUUUGGGACCCAGUUAUUGUCCCUGUUCUUCUUAGGCAGAUGGCGGAGUUCCCCAGUACACAGAAGGUGCUCACUCUUCACAAAAAGCAGUGCUUGAGAAUAACAGCCUACCUUGGUGGAGUAGCUUCGUUAGGGCCAGGGCUUGACUUGAAGCCAGAGACUGAGGUUGCAGUCCAGCCUUGGGUCAGCCUCAGGCUGGGGCUGGGGUGAUGCUGAGACCCUCACCAGAAAAAAGGCCUUUACCCCAUCCGAAAGGAAAUGGCUAUCCUCUGACCUGAGCACUCUAGCCUGAGGCCUGCCUGGCGCUAGAAGCCAGCCUCUGUUGUCCCCUCCCAGCACUCCUCCCACUGCUCUGCCUUUCUGCCCACAUAGAAACUCUGGAGACACCAGCUCCCCACCCUUCCAAGCUAAGCCCCACUGCUGUCUCUGCCUCCUCCAUCUUUCAAACCGGCAAUGUUUUUCCAAUCAGGCCUCCCUAUCCUUCCCCUACUGCUCUGCCCUUCACUGCCUUCCUUUCCUGGCGACUCUCAGCCGCCCUUCAAGGCCCAGCUCAGGCGUUCUUUCCUCAGUGACGCACCCCCGGGCAGGCUGGGGCUUCUGGCACAGCUCUGGCCACCCUGCGUAUCUUCAGCUGUUCCCAAUGUUUGUCUCUGCUCCCAAGUAGCUCUCUCACAGUUUCUGGCACAGAGGAGUUGGCCCUGAGGGGGAUGAACAGCAAGGACAGGCAGGACAGUUCUGGCAGUAAGGAAGUUAGAACAAGGUCCUUUGGUCUCGGCUAGGAAGGGUUCCCAGGUGCUUAGUACUCACUGAACAGAAAGGAAUUAGAAAAGAGGUGGCAUCUUGUAAUCGCUAGGGUGACAGCAGGCCAGGCCUCUGCCUUUUUGGUAGAGCUGAGGCCAGGGGCAGGGAACACAGCUUGAGUGACCCAUAAGGAGCCUUCCAGCUCAGCCACCCAAGGGCCCCCCAGCUGGACAGGAGCCCUUUACCACAUGGUAGGCAUCAUGUCAAGUGGCUCCCAAUGACCCCUGCCCCCUGGCAUCCAUUCCCUGGUGUAAUCCCCUCCCGUCCAGUGGGAGCUGGACCGAGCAAUGUUCAUUUAAUGAACAGAAUAUGGCAAAAGUGACAGGAUAUCACUUCCCAGGUUAGGUUAUAAGGGCCUGGGACUUCCGUCUUGCUCGCACACUUCACUCCACUCACUGGCUCUUCUUGCUAAGUAAGCUGGUGUGCCGUGAGCUACCCCAUGGAAAGGCCCAUGUGGCAAGGAACUGAAAGUGGCCUCUGUCAACAGCCAGUGAGGAAGUCAAUCCUGCGAACAACUGCAGGAACGGCCUUGGGAGUGGAUCCUUCCUCAGCCCGGCUCCAAGACAACUGCAGCCCUGUGAGAAACCCUGAGUGGAGGACCAAGCCAAGCCUCAAAUCGUGACUUGGAACUGGGAGACAACAGAUGCUGUUGGAAGCCACUGAGCUCUGAAGUAGUUUGUUACACAGUGACAGGUAACUUACACACCAUGGCAGGGUCAUGUGGGCCAAAGGUGCAAGGGGCUAGAGGGCUCAGAGGGCAGCCAGCUGGGGACCCAGUCUUCCCCAGGUGUCAGCAGCAGAUGCAGAUGCAGCCCCAGCAAUAACUCAUAGAGGAUUCUCACUUUCAUUUAUUUUCAAGGCAUAUACAAAAGUCUGACAUGGUGCAAUGAUCUCAUCAAGAGAUAACAGAACACACAGGAGAGGGUUGGGUUUCCUCCCCGGCCCAACCCCCUCAGGAAGGCACAGAAAAGUGAGGCUUGGGUUCGGGGGCCACCUGCUUUGGAACUAAUCUGCUGCUCAGAAGGCCAGGCCCCUUCUGAAGAGGGAUCUCUUCCUCACAUCCAGAAUCUAGGAUCUGGGGAAGGUAAACUGAGGCCACCAGUAAGCAUGUGCUCCAGGCCAAGGCUGAGUCUGUGCUGCAUCCAUGUCAUCAGCCACCCAAGAAAAACCAGUUACUCCACCUAGCUCAUGGUGGCGGCAUCCUCCCUGCAAUGGUGCAUGGGGGGCAGUCCUUUCCCCUGCAGGGUGUCAUUGCCACCCCCAUCCUCAUCCUGGAGGCCAGUCCAGGCUCCGAUAUGAGUGACUAGGGGUGAGGUAGGGGUGGCAGAAGGGAGAUCAAACUGGAGCAUUCCAGAUGCCUACUACUGCCCUCACACAACGGGGCAACUGUGCUCUCCAACUCCUCCCCUUGGCAGAGAAACUGGUCCUGCAGUUUCAGGACUAGACGAGCGUGGGGUAGUGGCAAUAAAGGGGCUUGUAUGAGAAGUGGCUUUCGCCUCUCAUCCCUAGGGGCAAAAAGUGAAUCAUCUAACUGGUCCAAGUCACUAAUGGCAAUCCUUCUUCCCCAAGAAGACUGAGUUUCCUUUGUCACUUCAGGAAGGGAAGAA
This 3562-nucleotide long non-coding RNA is filed under the name Homo sapiens (human). Its description in RNAcentral is "HSALNT0363832". Lineage: Eukaryota; Metazoa; Chordata; Mammalia; Primates; Hominidae. The record is from RNAcentral.